Homo sapiens (human) is the source of this 2370-nucleotide long non-coding RNA. The record is from Ensembl. Lineage: Eukaryota; Metazoa; Chordata; Mammalia; Primates; Hominidae.
GUGGAGCUCACUCGGUCUGAGAGGUCGGAGGCUGCGAGUGUCGCUGCUGAAGGCUGUGGUGGACCAGGCUGGAUCGCGGAUUCUGAGCUACAUCGCGGGUUUGGUGGUGGAUCUUGGAUUUGGGGGUGGAUCGCGGGUUUGGGGGUGGAUCUUGGAUUUGGGGGUGGAUCGCGGGUUGUGGGGGGGAUGGCGGAUUUGGGGCUGGGUGGGGGUGGAAAGGCCACGAGGAGCCGCGGCGGCUCAGGAGCGGGUGGUGGGCGUCUGAAAAGUCGCCACCAUGAGGAAGCUCUUCAGCUUCGGGAGACGCCUGGGCCAGGCGCUCCUGGACUCCAUGGACCAAGAGUACGCUGGUCGGGGGUACCACAUCCGGGACUGGGAACUGCGGAAGAUCCACAGGGCUGCCAUCAAGGGCGACGCCGCGGAGGUGGAGCACUGCCUGACGCGCAGGUUCCGGGACUUGGACGCCCGCGACAGAAAAGACAGGACUGUUCUACAUUUGACCUGUGCCCAUGGCCGUGUGGAAGUGGUCACCCUCUUGCUGAGCAGAAGAUGCCAGAUCAACAUAUAUGAUAGACUAAACAGGACACCUUUAAUGAAGGCUGUACACUGCCAGGAAGAGGCUUGUGCCAUUAUUCUCCUGGAACAUGGCGCCAAUCCAAACAUUAAGGAUAUCUACAGCAACACUGCUCUCCAUUAUGCUGUGUAUAAUAAGGGGACUUCACUGGCAGAAAAACUGCUUUCCCACCAUGCAAAUAUUGAAGCACUAAACGAGGAGGGAAACACUCCACUUUUGUUUGCUAUAAAUUCUAGGAGACAGCAAAUUGUGGAAUUUCUGUUGAAGAACCAGGCAAAUUUACAUGCCAUUGACAAUUUCAGAAGAACAGCCCUCAUGCUUGCAGUACAGCAUAACUCAUCAAGUAUCGUCAGCCUCCUCCUUCAACAAAAUAUAAAUAUCUUUUCUCAAGACCUGUUUGGCCAGACUGCCGAGGAUUAUGCUGUUUGUUAUAAUUUCAGAAGCAUUCAACAACAAAUUUUGGAACAUAAAAAUAAGAUACUUAAAAGUCAUCUUUGAAAUGAUAAUCAAGAAACAGCAGCUAUGAAGCCUUGAAUUUUGAAAAAAAGACAAGAAGGUGCAAAAGUCUUUAAUCCUGGCAGGGAUUCACGGGCGCACACACACACACUCAGGAUUCAGAUCUUGUUGAAAGCUGCGAUAUCGACACUCUGCACGUGCUCCUCAAACUUGGUGAUCUCCUCCAGCAAGUCUGUCCCCACCUUGUCGUCCUCCACCACACACUGAAUCUGUAGCUUCCGGAUACCGUAGCCCAUGGGCACCAGCUUGGAGGCCCCCUAGACCAGCUCUUCCAGCUGGAUGGAGCACACACAGGCCUCCAGCUGGGCCAUGUCAGUCUCAUCGUCCCAAGGCUUGAAAUCCAGCAGGAUGGAGGACUUGGCCACCAGUUCAGGCUUCUUGGCCUUCUUCUCCGCGUACUGCUGCAGCCGCUCCUCCUGCAGCUGUGCCGCCUUCUUGUCCUCCUCCUCAUUGUCGCUGCCAAACAGGUCAGUGUCAUCAUCGUCGUCAUCCUCUGCUGGUGUGAAUGGCUUCUUGGCCAGGGGCUCCACUUGGCGCAUGGGAGACAUGUGCUGGGUCUGUGGGGCCGUGGCCCGGUGGCCAGGCGAGUUCUUCUCCAGCACGUUCAGCCGGGCCUCCAGCUUGGAGAUGACCUGCUGCAGCUCCUGUACCACACUGCGCAGGCUCUGGUUCUCCACUUUCAGACUGGUGAUCCGGACGACGAGCUCGCUGUGGUCUCCGCUGGGGCCGCUGGAGGCCCCGGGGCCUGAGUUUCCGGCCAGGGAUUUCUGGAUGUUCUCUCUGGCUCUCGCGAUGUCACGGAGGAUCACGCUGGCGUCGUUCUCUUGGCGGGAGGCACCGGCCACAGGCCCAUUCAUCUGCUCGUAGAAUCUCCUUUCUGCGUCGUCAUAUUUGAACUUGUCGAACCAGAUCUUCUCAUGUACUAGGAAGUUUGUAGCCAUUUUUCUGACGCCUGCCAAGGACGCGACGACCAGGGAGGAGGAAUCGGCGGACGCGGGACACCUGAGGAAAGGUGUCAUCUUGUCUCCUCGCGUCAUCUUGUCUCCCAGUGUCCAGUAGGGCAGAGGGGGAUGCCCAGAGGCAGGAUGAAAAACCACAGUCUUCAGAGCUUGUAGAGAGUGCCUGAGAGGCCUGGAGGAGACUUGGGACCUGCUUUCACAACUGCAGAGCUAUCUUUGUCACAGCCUGGCAAUGUAGAAGGAAAAAAGGCCAUUUUCAGAGCAAACUUCAAGAAGACUUCAGAUAUUUGCAUUAAAAAGAAGACCAGUGUUAACAGAGAA